This 1347-nucleotide long non-coding RNA is filed under the name Solanum pimpinellifolium. Its description in RNAcentral is "long non-coding RNA (SPIM_LNC000167)". Lineage: Eukaryota; Viridiplantae; Streptophyta; Magnoliopsida; Solanales; Solanaceae. The record is from RNAcentral.
GAUUAAACCGACUAGCGACACUUUCGAGAUGCCACCUUGAAAUAAAAAAAAUUCUUUUCAAUUCCAUUUGACUCGGGGCGUCAGGGACCCUCCAACAGAAACCUCGUCUUUUUUGUCGUCGAUAAGUUCUCCCUCAGUGCCCUACUAUUCAUAAGAAAUACUGAUUGUUGAGAGACUGAUUUAUGAAAGCCCGGUGAGGNAAAAUUGACCGAUGGAAGAAAUGAUAUCUAUUUAAUCACAAUCUUUCAUGAUAUAACUUACUUUUUUAAUAGUGACAAAUUCAAAAAUAUGUGUUUGAAGGUUUUCUAAAGAUAAUUAUACAACAAAUUAAAGCACUCUUCAUUAAGAUUUUUUUGAUUCACAUGUCUCAAACUUUAAAUCAAUCGAUGGAAGAAAUGAUAUCUAUUUAAUCACAAUCUUUCAUGGUAUAACUUACUUGUUUACUAGUGAUAAAUUCAGAUAUGUGUGUUUGAAGGUUUUCUAAAGCCUACAAAUUCUACAUACGUGUGCGAAAAAGUAUAGAGUUAAAUAUAUAUUUUGAUUCGAUCUAGAAUUCGUAAUGUUUGUUGGUUAUAAAUUAAGAUUUUUUUCCAUCACAUGUCUCAAACUCGCGAUCGAUGGAAGAAAUGAUAUCCAUUUAAUCACAAUCUUUCAUGGUAUAACUUGCUCUUUUACUAGUGACAAAUUCAAAUAUACUUAUUUGAAGGUUUUCUAAAGCCUAAAAAUUCUAUAUAAACGUGCAAAAAAAAUAUAAAUAGAGUUAAAUGUAUAUGUUUUAAUUUGAUCCAGAAUUUGUAAUGUUUGUUGGUUACAAAUCAAGAUUUUUUCUCAUUCACAAGUUUGAAACUCGAAAUCGAUCGAUGAAAGAAAUGAUAUCCAUCUAAUCACAAUCUUUCAUGAUACUACAUUUUUUACUAGUGACAAAUUCAGAUACAGGUUUUUAAAAUCUAAUAUUGAAGGUUCAAGUUCUAUAUAAAAGUGCGAAAAAAAAAGAAGUAUAUAUAGAGUUAAAUAUACAUUUUAAUUCGAUCCAGACUUCAUUUUUUUUUGUUGGCUAGAAAUAAAGCAUUAGAGAUAUAUAGGUUUAUCAUUUAUUAAAAACAAAAUGAAUUUCACUCAAUUACAUUACCUUUAGUGAUUAAACCGACUAGCGACACUUUCGAGAUGCCACCUUGAAAUAAAAAAAAUUCUUUUCAAUUCCAUUUGACUCGGGGCGUCAGGGACCCUCCAACAGAAACCUCGUCUUUUUUGUCGUCGAUAAGUUCUCCCUCAGUGCCCUACUAUUCAUAAGAAAUACUGAUUGUUGAGAGACUGAUUUAUGAAAGCCCGGUGAGGUCUCAACCGACA